CAAAAGGAUUGCUAUAAAUUUCAUUGGUUCCAAUCUUCUGAUAUUUCAGCAUUUAUUAAAUUUGUUCUUUAAACUACUAACGGAAAAAGUUGUACAAUCUUUUCAUAUUUUUUAUGGCUCUAUAUAUAUUGAAAAAACUAUACUACACAAUUACAAAUAACUUCAUUGAUCAUUUUCUCUUCAGUUGGUCAGAAAUUCUCGAUUUAUUUGAUAAGAACUAUCUGCUUAUUUUGGGAGUUUUGCUCAAUAGAAGGUUCAGAAGCGCGAGAUCCAGAGCACCCUUAGCAGUACAGUCUCAGUCAGCAGCACUAGACGUAGCAGUGAGUCCUCAUCAUUCGAGGAUGCUUCUUAUUUCAAUAUUACAUUAGAUUCAGUUUAUUCUCAGUAGAUGGAGUUAGUUGGGGACAUGUCCCAUCAACUCUAUAGUUCAGACAAUUUAGAGGCUUUUUAGACAGAUGUAUCAUUAUUCAGUUUUUCAGCAUUGAGUAUUUUAGACGUUUUGAA
Capsicum annuum is the source of this 504-nucleotide long non-coding RNA. RefSeq lists it as uncharacterized. The transcript has 2 exons. Lineage: Eukaryota; Viridiplantae; Streptophyta; Magnoliopsida; Solanales; Solanaceae. The record is from RefSeq and is a predicted model, not a curated record.